CCUACGGGAGGCAGCAGUGGGGAAUAUUGGGCAAUGGGCGCAAGCCUGACCCAGCAACGCCGCGUGAAGGAAGAAGGCUUUCGGGUUGUAAACUUCUUUUCUCAGGGACGAAGAAAGUGACGGUACCUGAGGUAUAAGCCACGGCUAACUACUUGGCAGCCGCCGCGGUAAUACGUAGGUGGCAAGCGUUAUCCGGAUUUACUGGGUGUAAAGGGCGUGUAGGCGGGAAAGCAAGUCAGAUGUGAAAACCAUGAGCUCAACCUGUUACCUGCAUUGGAUACUGGUUUUCUUGAGUACUGGAGAGGCAGACGGAAUUCCUGGUGUAGCGGUGAAAUGCGUAGAUAUGAGGAGGAACACCAGUGGCGAAGGCGGUCUGCUGGACAGCAACUGACGCUGAGGCGCGAAAGCGUGGGGAGCAAACAGGAUUAGAUACCCCAGUAGUC
RNAcentral lists this ribosomal RNA (443 nucleotides) under uncultured bacterium. RNAcentral describes it as "partial 16S ribosomal RNA". It matches the Rfam family "Bacterial small subunit ribosomal RNA", at positions 338 to 795 of the family's 1533-position model. The record is from RNAcentral.